RNAcentral lists this ribosomal RNA (292 nucleotides) under uncultured bacterium. Its description in RNAcentral is "partial 16S ribosomal RNA". It matches the Rfam family "Bacterial small subunit ribosomal RNA", at positions 505 to 796 of the family's 1533-position model. The record is from RNAcentral.
GUGCCAGCAGCCGCGGUAAUACAGAGGUCCCAAGCGUUGUUCGGAUUCACUGGGCGUAAAGGGUGCGUAGGUGGCCGUGGAAGUUCGAUGUGAAAGCUCGGAGCUUAACUUCGAAAUGGCAUUGAAUACUCUACGGCUGGAGGGUCGGAGGGGAGACUGGAAUUCUCGGUGUAGCAGUGAAAUGCGUAGAUAUCGAGAGGAACACCAGUGGCGAAGGCGAGUCUCUGGACGACACCUGACACUGAGGCACGAAAGCUAGGGGAGCAAACAGGAUUAGAUACCCCGGUAGUCC